GAAGUAAAAGUCGUAACAAGGUUUCCGUAGGUGAACCUGCGGAAGGAUCAUUAUCGAGAGAGGCUUCGGCCUCGGGGGCUUCGGCCCCCAACUCUUCACCCUGUGCGCAUCCAACCCGUGUUGCUUUGACGGCAUUCACGCCGUCCAAGAACCCAUCAAACUCGGCAAUCAGUGUCGUCGGAGCCCAAUCUAAUAACUAAAACUUUCAACAACGGAUCUCUUGGUUCUGGCAUCGAUGAAGAACGCAGCGAAAUGCGAUAAGUAAUGUGAAUUGCAGAAUUCAGUGAAUCAUCGAAUCUUUGAACGCACAUUGCGCCCCUUGGCAUUCCGAGGGGCAUACCUGUUCGAGCGUCAUUACACCCCUCAAGCCUUGGCUUGGUGUUGGGCGACGUCCCCCGGGACGGGCCCGAAUGGCAGUGGCGGUCCGGCGUGGCUUCAAGCGCAGUAGAUACACCGUUCGCUUGGGAGCCAUGCUCGGGUCCCGCCAGUCAACCCCAGACUCCAACCGUUUGACCUCGGAUCAGGU
This 526-nucleotide ribosomal RNA is filed under the name Lobarina scrobiculata. RNAcentral describes it as "eukaryotic LSU rRNA". The stretch from base 201 to 354 matches the Rfam family "5.8S ribosomal RNA". The record is from RNAcentral. Lineage: Eukaryota; Fungi; Ascomycota; Lecanoromycetes; Peltigerales; Lobariaceae.